UAGAAGGUAGUGUAUUGGGGCACGAAGGGUUUUGAUCCCUUUAGGAUAGGUUCAAAUCUUAUCUUUCUAA
Molecule: transfer RNA, 70 nt
Filed under: Caecilia volcani
Lineage: Eukaryota; Metazoa; Chordata; Amphibia; Gymnophiona; Caeciliidae
Description: tRNA-Gln
Rfam family: tRNA
About the family: Transfer RNA (tRNA) molecules are approximately 80 nucleotides in length. Their secondary structure includes four short double-helical elements and three loops (D, anti-codon, and T loops).
Source: RNAcentral